GACGAACGCUGGCGGCGUGCUUAACACAUGCAAGUCGAACGGAAAGGCCCCUUUGGGGGUACUCGAGUGGCGAACGGGUGAGUAACACGUGAGUAACCUGCCCUUGACUUCGGGAUAACUUCAGGGAACUGGGGCUAAUACCGGAUAGGAAUCCUUGCUGCAUGGUGGGGGUUGGAAAGCUUCGGCGGUUUUGGAUGGACUCGCGGCUUAUCAGCUUGUUGGUGGGGUAGUGGCUUACCAAGGCUUUGACGGGUAGCCGGCCUGAGAGGGCGACCGGCCACAUUGGGACUGAGAUACGGCCCAGACUCCUACGGGAGGCAGCAGUGGGGAAUAUUGCACAAUGGGCGGAAGCCUGAUGCAGCAACGCCGCGUGCGGGAUGACGGCCUUCGGGUUGUAAACCGCUUUCAGCAGGGGCGAAGCUUGUGGUGACGGUACCUGCAGAAGAAGCACCGGCUAACUACGU
RNAcentral lists this ribosomal RNA (464 nucleotides) under uncultured bacterium. Its description in RNAcentral is "partial 16S ribosomal RNA". It matches the Rfam family "Bacterial small subunit ribosomal RNA", at positions 28 to 506 of the family's 1533-position model. The record is from RNAcentral.